ANACNUGCAAGUCGAGCGAACAGAUAAGGAGCUUGCUCCUUUGACGUUAGCGGCGGACGGGUGAGUAACACGUGGGUAACCUACCUAUAAGACUGGGAUAACUUCGGGAAACCGGAGCUAAUACCGGAUAACAUUUGGAACCGCAUGGUUCUAAAGUGAAAGAUGGUUUUGCUAUCACUUAUAGAUGGACCCGCGCCGUAUUAGCUAGUUGGUAAGGUAACGGCUUACCAAGGCGACGAUACGUAGCCGACCUGAGAGGGUGAUCGGCCACACUGGAACUGAGACACGGUCCAGACUCCUACGGGAGGCAGCAGUAGGGAAUCUUCCGCAAUGGGCGAAAGCCUGACGGAGCAACGCCGCGUGAGUGAUGAAGGGUUUCGGCUCGUAAAACUCUGUUAUUAGGGAAGAACAAAUGUGUAAGUAACUGUGCACGUCUUGACGGUACCUAAUCAGAAAGCCACGGCUAACUACGUGCCAGCAGCCGCGGUAAUACGUAGGUGGCAAGCGUUAUCCGGAAUUAUUGGGCGUAAAGCGCGCGUAGGCGGUUUCUUAAGUCUGAUGUGAAAGCCCACGGCUCAACCGUGGAGGGUCAUUGGAAACUGGGAAACUUGAGUGCAGAAGAGGAAAGUGGAAUUCCAUGUGUAGCGGUGAAAUGCGCAGAGAUAUGGAGGAACACCAGUGGCGAAGGCGACUUUCUGGUCUGUAACUGACGCUGAUGUGCGAAAGCGUGGGGAUCAAACAGGAUUAGAUACCCUGGUAGUCCACGCCGUAAACGAUGAGUGCUAAGUGUUAGGGGGUUUCCGCCCCUUANUGCUGCAGCUAACGCAUUAAGCACUCCGCCUGGGGGAGUACGANCGCNAGGNUGNAAACUCNNNGGANUUGACGGGGGACCCGCACNANCGGUGGANCAUGGUNGGUUUAANUUCGAA
Molecule: ribosomal RNA, 929 nt
Filed under: Staphylococcus sp.
Lineage: Bacteria; Bacillati; Bacillota; Bacilli; Caryophanales; Staphylococcaceae
Description: bacterial SSU rRNA
Rfam family: Bacterial small subunit ribosomal RNA
Source: RNAcentral